This 511-nucleotide ribosomal RNA is filed under the name uncultured bacterium. Its description in RNAcentral is "bacterial SSU rRNA". It matches the Rfam family "Bacterial small subunit ribosomal RNA", at positions 28 to 532 of the family's 1533-position model. The record is from RNAcentral.
GACGAACGCUGGCGGCGUGCCUAACACAUGCAAGUCGAGCGGAGUCGAUUGACGGAAGCCUUCGGGCGGAAGAUGGUUGACUUAGCGGCGGAUGGGUGAGUAACGCGUGGGCAACCUGCCUCGAAGACCGGGAUAACAGCCCGAAAGGGCUGCUAAUACCGGAUGUGGUCAAGGAUCCGCAUGGAUUUUUGAUUAAAGGGGAAACCCGUUUCGAGAUGGGCCCGCGUCCUAUCAGCUAGUUGGUGAGGUAAAAGCUCACCAAGGCGACGACGGGUAGCCGGCCUGAGAGGGUGACCGGCCACACUGGAACUGAGACACGGUCCAGACUCCUACGGGGGGCAGCAGUGGGGAAUCUUCCACAAUGGGCGAAAGCCUGAUGGAGCGACGCCGCGUGAGCGAAGAAGGCCUUCGGGUUGUAAAGCUCUGUCUGGAGGGACGAAGGAAGUGACGGUACCUCCGGAGGAAGCCACGGCUAACUACGUGCCAGCAGCCGACGGUAAAAGUACUCUAU